GCGUGCCUAACACAUGCAAGUUGAGCGGAGAUAUAUGGAGCUUGCUUUAUAUAGCUUAGCAGCGAACGGGUGAGUAACACGUAGAUAAUCUAUCCUAUACUGGGGGAUAGCCCGAUGAAAGUUGGAUUAAUACCGCAUAUAGCUAUAUAGUUGCAUGAUUAUGUAGUGAAAGAUUUAUUGGUAUAGGAGGAGUCUGCGGCACAUUAGCUAGUAGGUGAGGUAAAGGCUUACCUAGGCGACGAUGUGUAGCCGGUCUGAGAGGAUGAACGGCCACAAUGGAACUGAGACACGGUCCAUACUCCUACGGGAGGCAGCAGUGGGGAAUAUUGCACAAUGGGGGAAACCCUGAUGCAGCAACGCCGCGUGAGUGAAGAAGGUUUUCGGAUUGUAAAGCUCUGUUAGCAGGGAAGAGGAAGGACGGUACCUGCAGAGGAAGCCACGGCUAACUACGUGCCAGCAGCCGCGGUAAUACGUAGGUGGCAAGCGUUGUUCGGAAUAACUGGGCGUAAAGGAUGCGUAGGCGGUUAAACAAGUUAUAUGUUAAAUAUAUAGGCUUAACCUGUAGAAAGCAUAUAAAACUGUUUAACUAGAGUGCAGGAGAGGUAAGUGGAAUUCCUAGUGUAGCGGUGAAAUGCGUAGAGAUUAGGAAGAACACCAGUGGCGAAGGCGACUUACUGGACUGUAACUGACGCUGAGGCAUGAGAGCAUGGGGAGCAAACAGGAUUAGAUACCCUGGUAGUCCAUGCUGUAAACGAUGGGUACUAGGUGUGGGUUGUGAAUAACAAUUCGUGCCGUCGCAAACGCAAUAAGUACCCCGCCUGAGGAGUACGAUCGCAAGAUUAAAACUCAAAGGAAUUGACGGGGACCCGCACAAGCAGCGGAGCAUGUGGUUUAAUUCGAAGCAACGCGAAGAACCUUACCUAAACUUGACAUACCUUGAAUUACCUUGUAAUGAGGGAAGCUCGCAAGAGCAAGGAUACAGGUGGUGCAUGGUUGUCGUCAGCUCGUGUCGUGAGAUGUUGGGUUAAGUCCCGCAACGAGCGCAACCCUUGUUGUUAAUUGCUAACAGGUUAAGCUGAGCACCUUAGCGAGACAGCCUAGGUUAACUAGGAGGAAGGUGGGGAUGACGUCAAAUCAUCAUGCCCCUUACGUUUAGGGCUACACACGUGCUACAAUGGUGAGAACAGAGAGAAGCAAGCUAGUGAUAGUGAGCAAAACUUAUAAAACUCAUCUCAGUUCGGAUUGCAGGCUGAAACUCGCCUGUAUGAAGAUGGAGUUGCUAGUAAUCGCGAAUCAGAAUGUCGCGGUGAAUACGUUCCCGGGUCUUGUACACACCGCCCGUCACACCAUGAGAGUUGGCAACACCCGAAACCUGUGGGCUAACCAUAUAGGAGGCAGCAGUCUAAGGUGGGGUCAGUGAUUGGGGUG
Molecule: ribosomal RNA, 1428 nt
Filed under: segmented filamentous bacterium
Lineage: Bacteria; Bacillati; Bacillota
Description: bacterial SSU rRNA
Rfam family: Bacterial small subunit ribosomal RNA
Source: RNAcentral